Molecule: ribosomal RNA, 273 nt
Filed under: uncultured prokaryote
Description: partial 16S ribosomal RNA
Rfam family: Bacterial small subunit ribosomal RNA
Source: RNAcentral
UACGUGUGGUCCGAGCGUUGUCCGGAAUGACUGGGCGUAAAGGGUGCGUAGGUGGGCACAUAAGUCAGGUGUGAAAUCCCCGGGCUCAACCUGGGAAGUGCGCUUGAAACUAUGUGUCUCGAGGCUGUCAGGGGUAAGCGGAAUUCCCGGAGUAGCGGUGAAAUGCGUAGAUAUCGGGAAGAACACCGGUGGCGAAGGCGGCUUACUGGGACAGAUCUGACACUGAGGCACGAAGGCGUGGGGAGCAAACAGGAUUAGAAACCCGAGUAGUCC